This 470-nucleotide long non-coding RNA is filed under the name Homo sapiens (human). Its description in RNAcentral is "non-protein coding lnc-ARHGEF2-1:3". The record is from RNAcentral. Lineage: Eukaryota; Metazoa; Chordata; Mammalia; Primates; Hominidae.
CAUUGUGUGAGACCCAGCCCUGGCCUCUCCCCUGCACCAUUUCCUGAGCUCAAGAGGCUAAGGGAAAAUGGGAGGGGGGCUAGGAGAGUUAAUCUAAUGGAAAAAGAAGCAACACGAUGAUGGGACCCCCAGUUUGAAUUUCAGACAGUGGAGGAGGGAAUAUUGCUAGGAGGGAGUUGAGGAAGCCUUGUUAAACCUCAUCUCUUUGAGGGACAGAAUAAAAAGUAUUGGCAUCAUAGCAUAGCCAUUUAGAAACAAGUUCUAGGGUGGGUUGGAAAAUCUCCAAGAGCCCUGACCUCAUCUUCCACCUCAGCAACCAUGACCUGAAACCUCAGCGUGAAUUUGGGGGAUUUUUCAGUGGAACCCUUGCCCCCAAAUGUCGACCAGCCCCCAAAUGUCGAAGAAUUUUCUUCUUGCCAAUUUUGUUGUUUAAAAAAAAAAUUCAGGGAAAAUUAAAAACCUGGAACUCC